This 825-nucleotide ribosomal RNA is filed under the name uncultured Planctomycetota bacterium. RNAcentral describes it as "bacterial SSU rRNA". It matches the Rfam family "Bacterial small subunit ribosomal RNA", at positions 8 to 847 of the family's 1533-position model. Lineage: Bacteria; Pseudomonadati; Planctomycetota. The record is from RNAcentral.
AGGGUUUGAUCAUGGCUCAGCGCGAACGCUGGCGGCAUGCCUAAAGCAUGCAAGUCGAACGAGAAUUCACCCGCAAGGGUGAUAGUAAAGUGGCGGACGGGCGAGUAAUACUUUUCUAACGUACCCCAAGGCGGGGGAUAGCUCGGGGAAACCCGAGGUAAUACCCCAUAACCCCAUCUUGUCGCAUGGCGAGGUGGGCAAAGGCUUGCUUCCUUGGGAUCGGGAAAAGCACUAUCAGGUAGUUGGUGAGGUAACGGCUCACCAAGCCUAAGACGGUUACCGGGUGUGAGAGCAUGACCCGGCGCAUCGGGACUGAGACACUGCCCGGACUCCUACGGGAGGCUGCAGCAAGGAAUCUUCCGCAAUGGGCGCAAGCCUGACGGAGCAAUGCCGCGUGUGGGAUUAAGUUCUUCGGAAUGUAAACCACUGUCAGGGUUUAACAAGAAAGUGAGUAAACCCAAAGGAAGGGCCGGCUAACUCUGUGCCAGCAGCCGCGGUAAUACAGAGGGCCCGAGCGUUGCGCGGAAUCACUGGGCUUAAAGGGUGCGUAGGCGGAAACUUAAGUGUCUCGUGAAAUCCCACGGCUUAACCGUGGAACUGCGGGGCAUACUGGGUUUCUUGAGGCUGGUAGGCGCUGCCGGAACUGUAGGUGUAGCGGUGAAAUGCGUAGAUAUCUACAGGAACGCCGAUGGUGAAGACGGGCAGCUGGGCCAGUUCUGACGCUGAGGCACGAAGGCGUGGGGAUCAAACAGGAUUAGAUACCCUGGUAGUCCACGCCGUAAACAAUGUGCACUAGACCUUGGAGGCUCUGACGCCGACAGGGUC